GCCAGCGUGGCAUAGUGGUUUGAUGCUGACUACGACUCUGGAGACCAGGGUUCGAUUCCCAGCUUGGCC
Phrynosoma platyrhinos (Desert horned lizard) is the source of this 69-nucleotide non-coding RNA. Lineage: Eukaryota; Metazoa; Chordata; Lepidosauria; Squamata; Phrynosomatidae. The record is from the annotation of a GenBank genome assembly.